CAAGCGUUGUUCGGAAUUACUGGGCGUAAAGGGCUCGUAGGCGGCCAACUAAGUCAGACGUGAAAUCCCUCGGCUUAACCGGGGAACUGCGUCUGAUACUGGAUGGCUAGAGUGUGGGAGAGGGAUGCGGAAUUCCAGGUGUAGCGGUGAAAUGCGUAGAUAUCUGGAGGAACACCGGUGGCGAAGGCGGCAUCCUGGGCCACGACUGACGCUGAGUGAGCGAAAGCCAGGGGAGCAAACGGG
RNAcentral lists this ribosomal RNA (243 nucleotides) under uncultured bacterium. RNAcentral describes it as "partial 16S ribosomal RNA". It matches the Rfam family "Bacterial small subunit ribosomal RNA", at positions 535 to 776 of the family's 1533-position model. The record is from RNAcentral.